RNAcentral lists this long non-coding RNA (1473 nucleotides) under Cyanistes caeruleus (blue tit). Its description in RNAcentral is "lncRNA (ENSCCEG00000008235.1)". Lineage: Eukaryota; Metazoa; Chordata; Aves; Passeriformes; Paridae. The record is from RNAcentral.
AUGCAGAAUUCCAUGGGAAAUGCAGAAUUCCACGGAAAUGCAGAAUUCCAUGGGAAAUGCAGAAUUCCAUGGGAAUUCCCGGACCUGGCUCUGGCCACCACGAAGAGCAGCAGGGGCAGGAGUUCGUCCAUCGGGAGCCGCGAGCCCGGAGCCGCCAGAGCCCGGCAGGCGCCGCCCAGGAAUUCCAGCUUUUCCUUGGGAUCCACCGUGGUGCUGCCGGAAAAACAGCGGGAAAAUGGGGAAAAACAGCGGGAAAAUGGGGAAAAUCCAGGGAAAAUGGGAAAAAACAGGGGGAAAAUGGGGAAAAAAAUGGGGGGAAAUGGGGGAAAAGACAGGGAAAAAAGCAGGAAAAAACCUGGAGAAAAAUGGGAAGAAAUAGGGAAAAUGGGGAAAAAUGGGGAAAAAUAUGGGAAAAAUGGGGAAAAUCCAGGGAAAAUUUGGGAUGAAACUGGGGUUUGUGGGAUGGGAAAUUCCUGGGAUUUCCAGGAUGGAAUUCCAGCUUUUCCUUGGGAUCCACCGUGGUGCUGCCAGAAAAACAGCGGGAAAAAUGGGGAAAAUCCAGGGAAAAUGGGAAAAAACAAGGGGAAAAUGGGGAAAAUCCAGGGAAAAUGGGAAAAAAUGGGGGAAAUGGGGAAAAUCCAGGGAAAAUGGGAAAAAACAGGGGAAAAAUGGGGGAAAUCCAGGGAAAAAUGGGGAAAAAAAUGGGGGGAAAUGGGGGGAAAAAACAGGGAAAAAAGCAGGAAAAAAACUGGAGAAAAAUGGGGAAAAAUGGGGAAAAAUGUGGGAAAAAUGGGGAAAAUCCGGGGAAAAUUUGAUAUGAAACUGGGGUUUGUGGGAUGGGAAAUUCCUGGGAUUUCCAGGAUGGAAUUCCAGCUUUUCCUUGUGAUCCACCGUGGUGCUGCCGGAAAAAACAGCAGGAAAAUGGGGAAAAUCCAGGGAAAAUGGGAAAAAACAGUGGGAAAAUGGGGAAAAUCCAGGGAAAAUGGGAAAAAACAGGGGAAAAUGGGGGAAAUCCAGAGAAAAUGGGAAAAAAUGGGAAAAUGGGGAAAAUCCGGGGAAAAUGGGAAAAAACAAGGGGAAAAUGGGGGAAAUCCAGGGAAAAUGGGAAAAAACAGCGGGAAAAUGGGGGAAAUCCAGGGAAAAUGGGAAAAAACAGGGGAAAAAUGGGGAAAAUCUGGGGAAAAUGGGGAAAAACAGCGGGAAAAUGGGGAAAAUCCAGGGAAAAAAUGGGGAGAAAAAUGGGAAAAAAGGGGGAAAAAGGGGGAAAAUGGGAAAAAAAUGGAGGGAAAAAUGGGAAAAAAUGGGGAAAAAAUGGGGAAAAAAUGGGAGAAAAUGGGAAAAAAUGGGAAGAAUGGAGAAAAAAGGGGGAAAAUGGGAAAAAUGGGGAAAAUGAGAAAGAAACAGGGAAAAACUGGGGAAAAAAUGGGAAGAAUGGAGAAAAAAGGGGGAAAAUGGGAAAAAUGGGGAAAAUGA